CUUAAUUAGUUAAUAAUAAUAUUAACUUGUCAAGUUAAAGUUAAAUAAA
Molecule: transfer RNA, 49 nt
Filed under: Pardosa laura
Lineage: Eukaryota; Metazoa; Arthropoda; Arachnida; Araneae; Lycosidae
Description: tRNA-Asp
Source: RNAcentral